GUUCAGAUUUCAACCCGUCUUAGCACAUCACCGUGUGUCCUUGUAUCUGGGAAAUUUGGCUGGUCGGCCAACAUGGAGAGGUUAAUGAAGGCGCAAACAAUUGGAGACACACAGCAGUUGGAUUUCAUGCGCGGAAGGAGAGUCUUCGAAAUUAAUCCUGAACAUCCAAUUAUCAAAGACUUGAACGAAGCAUGCAGGACAUCCCCUGAAGAUGCAGAGGCACAGAGGGCUAUUGAUCUUUUGUAUGAUACAGCGCUUAUUUCCAGCGGCUUCACCCCGGAGAAUCCAUCGGAUCUGAGUG
RNAcentral lists this unclassified non-coding RNA (301 nucleotides) under Hevea brasiliensis (rubber tree). Lineage: Eukaryota; Viridiplantae; Streptophyta; Magnoliopsida; Malpighiales; Euphorbiaceae. The record is from RNAcentral.